This 497-nucleotide ribosomal RNA is filed under the name uncultured bacterium. RNAcentral describes it as "partial 16S ribosomal RNA". It matches the Rfam family "Bacterial small subunit ribosomal RNA", at positions 28 to 507 of the family's 1533-position model. The record is from RNAcentral.
GAUGAACGCUGGCGGCGUGCCUAAUACAUGCAAGUCGAGCGAACAGACGAGGAGCUUGCUCCUCUGACGUUAGCGGCGGACGGGUGAGUAACACGUGGAUAACCUACCUAUAAGACUGGGAUAACUUCGGGAAACCGGAGCUAAUACCGGAUAAUAUAUUGAACCGCAUGGUUCAAUAGUGAAAGACGGUUUUGCUGUCACUUAUAGAUGGAUCCGCGCCGCAUUAGCUAGUUGGUAAGGUAACGGCUUACCAAGGCGACGAUGCGUAGCCGACCUGAGAGGGUGGUCGGCCACACGGGGACUGAGACACGGUCCAGACUCCUACGGGAGGCAGCAGUAGGGAAUCGUCCGCAAUGGGCGAAAGCCUGACGGAGCAACGCCGCGUGAGUGAUGAAGGUCUUCGGAUCGUAAAACUCUGUUAUUAGGGAAGAACAUAUGUGUAAGUAACUGUGCACAUCUUGACGGUACCUAAUCAGAAAGCCACGGCUAACUACGUG